CAGUCGCCACGGGAAAACGAAGGGGGCUAGCGUUGCUCGGAAUGACUGGGCGUAAAGGGCGCGUAGGCGGAUUGUUUAGUUAGGCGUGAAAUUCCUGGGCUUAACCUGGGGACUGCGCUUAAUACAGGCAGUCUAGAGUGAGGAAGAGGGUUGUGGAAUUCCCAGUGUAGAGGUGAAAUUCGUAGAUAUUCGGAAGAACACCAGUGGCGAAGGCGGCUUACUGGCUCAUUCUAGACGCUGAGGUGCGAAAGCGUGGGGUGCAAACAGGAUUAGAUACCCCCGUAGUCCCUGUCUCUUAUAC
Molecule: ribosomal RNA, 301 nt
Filed under: uncultured bacterium
Lineage: Bacteria
Description: partial 16S ribosomal RNA
Rfam family: Bacterial small subunit ribosomal RNA
Source: RNAcentral